UCUGUUGCCAUCAGCGCAUUGGAAGCUGGAUGUCUUGGCCAUCCUAAAGUUGGGACCCGCCCAGAUCCCUCCUACUCCAGUGGUGGGCUGUAAGCGUCCACAUCUGUGCGCGUUCACUUUUUAGGGAUUUUUUUUUCUGUUCUUUACACCGAAAUAGAAAAUAUACUACAUCCACAUAGACAGUAGGGAUAUAUUCCACCAUUUGCUUCAGAGCUAUGAAAAGUAAAACAUUCUAUAAAACCUACCCAACAGUGAUAUGACCUGUACUUUCAUGCCAUUUACAUCAUGGCCUUAAGGUUAAGUUGUGAUUUUCUCUUUUACAUUUGAUUUUAAUAUUGUUUGGACACUGAACAAUGUGCAGCCUGUAAAAUGUUUCAGCGUAGUAAAGACGCGUCCGUUGCGGUCCAGAUGUUUGACUCACUAGCAUAAGAAAGAGAAAAGGUUCACAUUGUUUAUUAUUCACAUUUUAUAAACAUUUUGGCCAUAAUAAAAGCAUUUAACGGAGAGCAUGCGCCUCAGAGUCGAAACCACCCGCCUGAUUUCUGUAAAAGAUAGACAGGACCAUGGGCAGGAUGUUUAUACUGCACAAUGUAAACAUUUUCCCUGAGCGUCUUUAAAUAAAAAAUCAAGCAAAAGCCCCGUUAGAUCAGCUAAUACUCAAUCUGAUGCGAAAUGUCCGUCUGCUCACAGCGUCCUGCGCGGACGCUGGACGUUUUUUACGCAUCGAUAUUGUUUGGGCAAUGCAGUCAUAAUAUUUACGCAGGGACGCACGAGGAGAGAGGUGGAAACUCUGCCGAGCCGUGAGCGCAGAAACUCGGCUGCGGGACUUGAGACCGGCUCCCGCAGGCAGCGCGCCUCGGAAACAAAAUCAGGAAUCUGCUUCGCCUCCGCUCCGUGCUCCACUGUGGCCUUUAUAGGAUGAUCCAGUCCCACACAGUGAGUGGGAGCGUGUUCGGUGCCCCACCCUGCAGCCCUGCACACCUCCCAGGGCCAGUCCAUCACGGCCCGUCUGAUGCCGGGAGAGACAUCAAUAACAAGAGCUGAGGCAGAAACCACAGCGGAGCGCACAGAGGAGAGAGGGAGCGCCGACGUGGGCCGCAGGCCGCUCCGCUGCAGGCUGGAGUGGGCAGGCGUGCGGCUCUGGCCACAGGAAGCUGUGAAUUCUUUGGAGAAUGGAAGAUGUCUUAUGGGGAGACGUACUGGGCCCCCCACCCACCCACUUACCCACCCACUCACCGACCCGCCGUGACCCCUGACCCUCGCGUGUGUUUAUAUCAGACCGUGGAAGUGAGAAACAGUGAUGAGUCACUCCGGCUGUGUGUUUACACUCCGGAGUCACGCAAGGAAGGAAAUCAGCCACGGUCUGCUAGACGUGGCGAGGUGAGGGAGAAUGGCUGCAGUCCCCGGCCUCGCAGCCAUUUGCCUCUGAGAGCCACCAUUCGUUUCACGCCAUCUCCGCUGCGCAGGUUUUCGGCCCGACGGAGAACGGCCACAUCAGCAGCACAGCGGGCAAAACACGCGGUCUUUACUGAGGAGCGGCUCACGUGUGCGUCCAGCGUCACCGCACUGAUGAAUGUGUUUCAUUCCCACAAUAAUAAUGACUGUUCACAUUCAGUCGCUUUCUAAAUUAACUCUUUUCUUAAGGAUUAUGUGUUAUAAAUAUUAUAUAUAUUAUAUGUUAUACUUAAAUGUUUUGCAUUUUAAAACAAAACUGAAAUGACUGAAACUGGAGCUACACAAUUUGCUGUGAACUAUUAUUAACCUAUUUUUUUUGAGUGUUUUUUUUUAAAACAAAGUUCAUUAUUUCAUUCAUUGAAUUCAAGUUAAUGUUUUCCUGCAAAAAAAGACAAAACAAUUCAGAUGCCAUAUUUUUAUUAGCUAGUUUAAUAUAGUCUGACAUUAUCAGAGAUGAAGUUCAUAAAUAAAUAAAUAUAGCAGUUAAAUCUGUCUUGUGUGGUUAUAAUAAUCAAUUACUUUAUUUGAGGUUGUGACAUUGUGUUCUAUAAAUGGGUGGAUUUUAUGUAAGUGUGCCAGCAGAAGUAAGAAAUUAGUUUUAAUGAUGAUGACAUCAGAUUGAAGAGGUAAACAUGUCUUUACACAGGCUUCACCCAUGAAACUGUCUUGGCAUAAUUUCAGCAUAUUAAUUCUAAAUCUGAGCAUCAACUUCCACUCAUUUUGUCGUCAGACAACUUAGUGAUUUUUUUUGUGAUUCCUUCACAUUAGCACCACUCACUAUAGUUUCUAUAGCGUAAAGGUCUGUUUACUGUGGCUUCACACACGCUGUCAUUUGUUCCCUGAACGCGGGACGACUUCAUGCUCCAGGUUGCACAACCGUUGUUUUCCAGCGACAGCUGCAGUUACAGCUCUCUGUAAAUAAAAGUGACACUUUAUUUCUUUGCAUCAUUUCACUGGUGCAAGUAACUUCACUGCUGACUGUAGUGAGUAUCCUGUUACACACCCCCGUACGCUUUGCCACAAUGAAAGAGUCCGCGGCUCUCAUUUUGGCCGAUCUCUCCUGAAUUGUAAGUCCUGUCAGGGGGUUUGAUUGAUAGUUGUGUUUAUCACCAUAUUAUUAAGUAAUCAGGCUCACCACAGCUGGGCCAGAAGCUCCUUAAUUCCAGCAAAAGCACACGGCUUCAUGCUAAUUAAAGGUUUGGUAAGAGUGUUUAUUUUUGUGAUUUUUUUAAAAAAUAUAGUUGUCUGUGUUUUUAUGCGAGCGCACUGAUUGUUGCAUUCGCAUCCUCCCUGGAACGUUGAAUGCCAACCCGUGGUGUCAUACCUUCAUCAAGAGGGUCACGGACUUUGGAGAGAGACUCAAAAACCAAAAAUCAGCCCCCUGCCUCCGAGUACAGUAUAAUGCCAUGUACAUUAAGGUGAAGCCUGCAAAUGGCGUGUCUGUGUAUAACACAGGGGGUCAGUCGGCGCGUAUCAGCAGAGGUUUCUUGCUUGGCUAAUAGAGCCUGCGGCGGGCUGCGUUUGUGUAUCGCUGAGGUAAACACAGUCAUGGCAAAGUGGACAUGCUGCUGAGUGUGUCCUGACUGGAGACAGAGAGCACUGUGGCACUGAACGGCCUGAGACACUGGCAGCUCUCUGGAGGCAGGGUUAAUGUGAUGAAUGGCCAUUUGGUAAUGGGCCAUGUAUUAGGGUGAAAACGCUCUUUCUAAAAGCUUGAGCCGGAGCCAUUGCUAUGGGCAAUUUGAUUCAGGAAUCAAUCAGGUGGCAGAUGUUUCGUGUUGGAUCACACCACCUUGUCCUGCUCUCCCGUUUUUCUGUUUGAAGGCAGAGCUGCUUGAAUAACCGCGUGGAGCAAUCAAACGAAAAUAUAACUUCAGCGCAAUCAAAAGCAGUGAUACAGUAUUGUUUGAAAAUCUGACCACAUCUGGCCGUUUGUAUACAAAACCUGAUUGAUCCAAGGUGAAAAAGGUGAAAAAUUAGGCCGGCUGCCAUCGGACUGCACAAACUCAAAGUGCCAGCGAGAGCUGUACUGUACGAAUCCUUGUAGGGCUGAUUUACUCAGUGCUCACAAGCAGGACUUCAACUCAAGUCUGGGACUUUUUUAUUUACAUAAUGAAACAUUUCAAAUAAAAUAUGUCAAUUUAUUUAUAUCCAAAAAAGAUCUUUGGAUGCUACAAUGCAGAUGUUAUUGUAUUUAUUUAUAUUUAUUUAAAAUAUGUAAUGCUUUAAUCCACUACUGAUGUUUGGUUUUGGAUGAUUUUUUUAUUUUUUAUUAAUAAAUUUCCUCAUGGUUUUACUUUGUUUGGAUGAAUCACGAACUUGGUUUUUGUGGCUCGACUGCAGGUCAGAACAAUAUUUGAUCUCUAUCUAUUUAAUAAUGAUCAUUGCAUACACAAAUUCUUUUAUGUGUGAAAGUCCUUUGUGGGAGUUAAAUUUAGCUUCAAAGUUUAGUUCUGUGAAAAUUCCAGCACUUGAGGACCUUAUGAUGAGUUGCGAUGCUUUUCUGUGGUGGUGUGACGGCUCAUAGAAUAAACACU
Long non-coding RNA from Betta splendens (Siamese fighting fish), 3992 nucleotides. RefSeq lists it as uncharacterized. The record is from RefSeq and is a predicted model, not a curated record. The transcript is spliced from 3 exons. Lineage: Eukaryota; Metazoa; Chordata; Actinopteri; Anabantiformes; Osphronemidae.